This 87-nucleotide transfer RNA is filed under the name Collinsella sp. CAG:398. Its description in RNAcentral is "transfer RNA-Leu(CAA)". It matches the Rfam family "tRNA". Rfam says of the family: Transfer RNA (tRNA) molecules are approximately 80 nucleotides in length. Their secondary structure includes four short double-helical elements and three loops (D, anti-codon, and T loops). Further hydrogen bonds mediate the characteristic L-shaped molecular structure. tRNAs have two regions of fundamental functional importance: the anti-codon, which is responsible for specific mRNA codon recognition, and the 3' end, to which the tRNAs corresponding amino acid is attached (by aminoacyl-tRNA synthetases). tRNAs cope with the degeneracy of the genetic code in two manners: having more than one tRNA (with a specific anti-codon) for a particular amino acid; and 'wobble' base-pairing, i.e. permitting non-standard base-pairing at the 3rd anti-codon position. The record is from RNAcentral. Lineage: Bacteria; Bacillati; Actinomycetota; Coriobacteriia; Coriobacteriales; Coriobacteriaceae. RNAcentral also lists the same sequence under 4 other names.
GCCGGAGUGGCGGAAUUGGCAGACGCAGCAGACUCAAAAUCUGCCGUUGGCAACAGCGUGAGAGUUCGAGUCUCUCCUCCGGCACCA